Molecule: non-coding RNA, 45 nt
Organism: Schistosoma mansoni
Lineage: Eukaryota; Metazoa; Platyhelminthes; Trematoda; Strigeidida; Schistosomatidae
Source: Rfam
AUCCAGCUGAUGAGUCCCAAAUAGGACGAAACACGCCUCUUGGAU